CUCAGGACCAAGACCUGUGGUUGUUACUUGACACUGUUAAAAUCAAAGGAUUGUUUGCAAGUUAAUGCACUACCUUUGUGGGGACAAGCCAGUGUCCUCUGUGAAGUUCUGCAAGAGUUGUGGUUAAGUCCUGCCAUAACACAGUUUUUACACCCUUCUCUUGCCUUCAGAGAAGUUCUUCUUUUGCACAGUGUUUGGCAUGCACUGAAAUUUCUACAUGAAUUGGAAGGCUGCCUGGCCCCAAAGGCUGUUCUGUUGGAGAAGGAAGUUAAGUUACUGCCCCCUGACAGACCUCUCUGUCAACUCUUCAGGAUGUCAAUGCUGAAAUCAAAGACUGCAAGUACAUCCUACCUAGACUGCUCAUGUGACAAGUGACAGGCUGAUGCUAAAGUGACUGCAAUGUCAGCUGCUGAAAGCCUCGGGCAAUGUGCAGCAGGGACUCAGUUUCAUCUCUCCAGCUUGUGUAAGAGCAAGGAGAAUGCCUGCCUCCUGAAGCUGACACCUGGGAAGGAGGGAGUCCCCCUGGUGAAAAGCAAGUAAUGAAGAUGCUCUGCGAAGCAAAAAUCAUCUGAGAGCAGAAAGUAGGG
Molecule: long non-coding RNA, 587 nt
Filed under: Chloebia gouldiae (Gouldian finch)
Lineage: Eukaryota; Metazoa; Chordata; Aves; Passeriformes; Passeridae
Description: Erythrura gouldiae (Gouldian finch) lncRNA (ENSEGOG00005002965.1)
Source: RNAcentral